This is a long non-coding RNA of Heterocephalus glaber (naked mole-rat), 446 nucleotides long. The record is from Ensembl. NCBI's taxonomy places the organism in Eukaryota, Metazoa, Chordata, Mammalia, Rodentia, Bathyergidae.
GUGCUGCUUAGUGGGGAAGGCUGUUGAGUAGAGCUCUCCAUCAUUAUGCCCUAUGCUCAAGCAUCUGAAGAAAUCUUUAUGUGCUUCUGUGCCCAACAUGAGAACUUUGAUCCUCAAGUGGCCCAAUUAACUGUGCAUUGCUCCAUUGCUGCUGGUGACUAAAAGAAGAAUGAAAGAGACCAAUUGCUUAUGUCUGCACAGUUAGUAAGCUUUCAAAGAAAGGACUAUCAUAUAUUAGGAAUCAUUAUUCAAGAUCAAUUUUGAUUGUAACUUAAAAGACCACAAGGUAUGCCUAAUAGUUUCGCUACUGUAUUUUUAACAAGCAGAUCAACACUUGAAACAUGAAAGGGGUUAUUUCAGUCAAUAAAUAAGACAUGAUACCCAUUUUUCUAUAUGGGGUGGGAGUGAGGUAGGAAAUAAAAAUAAAACAAUACUUGAAAGUUGAG